GUUGAAAUUCCGGCGGUUAAAAUAUCUGGGCACAUGUGUAAAACUCUCCGAACAUCAAGUAUGGUGAGAUUAACAGAGUAAAGGAAGUCAAUAACCGAUUUGAGGUCAGAUAAAGAGGAAGAGACAAUAAGGGGUUGUGAAGAAAGGCAAUGUAAAGAGUCUACACCAAGUGAAUCCAAAAAAAGAAGCUUUUCUUGAAGAUGGAAGUUUUGGGGUGUGGGUGUGGGUGGGGUAGUGGAGAUAAGGGUGGGUGGUUUUGGGUGUUGAGGGUAUGAAAUAGUGGAGGAU
Molecule: unclassified non-coding RNA, 288 nt
Filed under: Hevea brasiliensis (rubber tree)
Lineage: Eukaryota; Viridiplantae; Streptophyta; Magnoliopsida; Malpighiales; Euphorbiaceae
Source: RNAcentral